GCCAAGACUAGCCCCAAAGCAUAAUCAACACUAAUAACAAGUCAACACACACUAAACCAUUUACCUUCACAAAGUAUAGGCGAUAGAAAUUUUAAUCUGGCGCUAUAGAUACAGUACCGUAAGGGAAAGAUAGAAAACCACCCAAGCACAAAACAGCAAGGGCUAACCCCUGUACCUUUCGCAUAAUGGAUUAGCUAGAAACAAUUUUACGAAGAGAACUACAAGCCAAAUUCCCCGAAACCAGACGAGCUACCCAAAAACAGCUAAAAGAGCGCACCCGUCUAUGUGGCAAAAUAGUGGGAGGAUUUUUGGGUAGAGGUGACAAGCCUACCGAGCCUGGUGAUAGCUGGUUAUCCAAGACAGAAUCUUAGUUCAACCUUAAGCUUACCUGCAGAACAACCUAAUCCCCCUGUAAGCUUAAUUGCUAGUCUAAAGAGGGACAGCUCUUUAGACACUAGGAAAAAACCUUGCAGAGAGAGUAAAAACCCCAACUACCAUAGUUGGCCUAAAAGCAGCCAUCAAUUAAGAAAGCGUUCAAGCUCAACAUCAACCACCUCAAAAAUACCAAACACAUAACUGAACUCCUCACACCACAUUGGAUUAAUCUAUCACCAUAUAGAAGCAAUAAUGCUAGUAUAAGUAACAUGAAUAUUUUCUCCACCGCAUAAGCCUAAAUCGGACCGAAAGUCUCACCGAUACUUAACAGCCAGGCAUAACAAACACAAACAAGCCCAUGCCACCUUCACUGUUAACCCAACACAGGCAUGCCUCAAGGAAAGGUUAAAAAAAGUAAAAGGAACUCGGCAAACUCAAACCCCGCCUGUUUACCAAAAACAUCACCUCUAGCAUUACUAGUAUUAGAGGCACUGCCUGCCCGGUGACACACGUUUAACGGCCGCGGUACCCUGAC
RNAcentral lists this ribosomal RNA (910 nucleotides) under Macaca nigrescens. Its description in RNAcentral is "partial 16S ribosomal RNA". The stretch from base 155 to 910 matches the Rfam family "Bacterial large subunit ribosomal RNA", at positions 569 to 1898 of the family's 2925-position model. Lineage: Eukaryota; Metazoa; Chordata; Mammalia; Primates; Cercopithecidae. The record is from RNAcentral.